This is a long non-coding RNA of Triticum aestivum (bread wheat), 1434 nucleotides long. RefSeq lists it as uncharacterized. NCBI's taxonomy places the organism in Eukaryota, Viridiplantae, Streptophyta, Magnoliopsida, Poales, Poaceae. The transcript has 3 exons. The record is from RefSeq and is a predicted model, not a curated record.
AGGACGAAGCUGGGGUCAGAUCUGACGGUUUUAAUUGCGCGUAUCGGGCGACCAGGGCUGGACCGGCCCAACUGUUCCGCCGGUGCGCCGGCGCCUAGCGUCUCCCUACCCCUAAUGCCACUGUACAUGCUGUUGAAAACUGUAGGCUGCUCCAGCAGUAGUGAGGAUGCCUUGCAGUAUGAUACUUGAUACCAUGCUAACAGAACUAUGAUUACCGAAGGUUGAACAAUGCCAGAAAAUAUAUGGUGGUAGCAAGGUCUGCGUCACUGUCUUUUUAACACUCCUAUGCUACUUCAUGAUAGUGAAUCUACCCGUGCAUCCAUAUCUGGAGUCCUCUUCAUAUGAUGAUGUAGAAGAGCAGACUGCUGCUAUUGAAGCCAAAGGUGCUUGGAAAACACAGCUAAUACAGAGAUCUGAGACUAUAAUUAAAACCAUAGGAAGCGCCUCCAAAACCAGAAUGAGUAGCUCAUGCACCUACUCAACAUAGUGAAUGUGAGCUGCUCAUUCUAGUUUUAGAGGCGCUUCCUAUGGUUAAUCUUGGUAGGGCCGACACACUCUAUAAAUUAAUUAGCCUUGUCUUCAUUACAGAACUGAAAUCAUCUUGAACUCAAAUUUCAUCUUUUAAUUGACUCUUCCAUAUCUCGAUCAGAAGAACUUGAGUGGGGUGGAGGCUGGAUUGCGAGCCAGAUGCCCCAUCAAUAGGGGCAGUAAAGGAGAAGAAGAUAGUUGUUUAACAUUGCAGUUACUUUACUCAAGUGACAUACCAGAUCCAUCAUUUUAAUCUUGAGGUGGUGAACCCCAUCCGAGAUGGUGUCUAGAUUGGAUCUGGUGGUUCUAGACUCUGCGACAGCUGGAUCAAUAUUUCGUCGACUCCCCUAGGGUUUCUGGAAUAUUGGGGUAUUUAUAGAGCAAAGAGGCGGUCUGGGGGGGCACCCGAGGUGGGCACAACCCACCAGGGCGCGCCUGAGCCUCCUGGCGCGCCCUGGUGGGUUAUGCUCUCCUCGGAGCACCCCCAGGUUCAUUUAUGAAGAUCAUAUUUUAAUGCCUACUAGCUACUCCCUCUGUCUCAUUAUGUAAGAUGUUUUUUGACGCUACACUAGUGUAAAAAACGUCUUAUAUUAUGGGACGGAGGGAGUACUAAUCAGGUGGGUCCACCACUUCCAGCCACACAAGUAGUUUUUUUCUGAGGUCGAAGAACUACAUCUUCAGCUCAAGCAAUAUGAGCAUUCAGCAAGAUGUAACUUUUACCAAUGCAACGAUUGCCUCAGUCAUCAAAAGGACCAUGAUGCAAAUAAUGUGCUUGCUCAAAUAGAAGAACUCACCAGGGCUUUGACCUUUGAGUCCUUAGACUUUAUCCCGGUGUUCCCUUUGAUGCUGGCCAGCUCAUCUCGUCUGAUUGAGCUUGUCUUUAAACCAAGACUAUGAUGGGAAAAA